GUUCGGUAAUGUCCGUGUGCGUUCGGGCAUGUUCGCUGGGGCAGCGGCGCGCGCCUCGUGUCUCGCGAAACGUAUCGUUCAGUAUGCACCGUACAGUUGCCGCGUUGGGAGUGUAUGAUCUUCCGUGCUGCGAAAAUCGGUAUCGAUGAACACGAAUGAAUUGAGAUAAAUAAAAAUAAAAAUAAAAAAAUAACUUAUCAUUGAAUGGUGCAUAUUCUAUAGAAUUAAAACGAAUUGAUGCGAUUCGAGAUAAAUAAAAGCUAGUGUCGCAUCGAAAGAAAGUUUCUUACUCGUAUUUUUCAUUCGCUUCCUUCUAUUUAAUCUUACUAUUUUUGUGAAACGUAUGUAUAUGAUCGUUAUCUUCGUUAAAAGAAUAUUGAAGGAUACGUUAGCUUCUUGGUUGGACCCUUGAAGGGUCGCAAAGUGGUAGCGAUUAGGCGGUGACGUUUUAAAGAGCUGUCACGUAUUUUUUAAUUAUCGUACUACCUCUCCAGGGAUGACGAUUUUAGGCGACCAGCGUAACGCUAGAUCGUAACGAUCGAAUCAGGGGGAGACACAGUGGAAGGAAUAGCUCGCGAAGAAAAACGAAAAAUAAAGAGAGUACGAGAGCGAGGAAAGAGGAGAGAUAAUUGUUAUGGACACCAACGCGACGAACGAGCAAAUUUGUAUCAUUCAAGGAGGCGGGAAGCUGUUGGUACAAGAAACGAACGACACGCGGCCUGGAGAAAUCGAUCGGCUUGAGUUUUCAACAAGUUGUAAAUUGAGAAACCGCCAUUUGUACGGUUCGUGAGAAGUUAUGCGGUGAAUAAGUGUCGCGAGUGAGUCUCGCGGUCGAGACGAGAUCCGAACGUGUUCUUUUCCUUUCAUUUCCAGUUAUUCUCGUCUUUCGUACAAUAACGAGGACACGAUAAGCUUUUGAUCGUGACUUUAGUAAAGAAGAAUUGAUCGAGUUAUCAAGUGAUUCACGAAAAUAUUCUUGGAAGCUUGAUUCUUAAACAUUUCGCUGAGAGAUUCUCAAGUGAGUGAUUCGUGCUACUGUAGAACUACUGCUUUGCUUACAAGUCGACGAGUGAUUCGUGUGUGUACCAUAACGUCCUUACCAGCUAACACAAUUGGAUUGGAUUGCUUACUUGAUCAGGUUUCCGAAGGAAGAGGAGGAAAGGAAAAAAAAAGAGGGUUCGUGAACAAGGAUGACAAUAAUGAGAAGGAAGGAGUGAAGGACCACGAGGGUGAGAAAAGAGAGUAUAAGCCUAGCAUUAGUGAAGGAGUGUAGUAGUCACAGGAAGUGCUUUGAAGAGAGAGAAAGAGAAAGACAGACAGAAAGACAGAAA
Molecule: long non-coding RNA, 1331 nt
Filed under: Polistes fuscatus (common paper wasp)
Lineage: Eukaryota; Metazoa; Arthropoda; Insecta; Hymenoptera; Vespidae
Description: uncharacterized LOC122516528
Source: RNAcentral